GAUUUCAUGAGCCGUGCAGAUUUCGCAAUCACCUAAUUCCAGGAUUCUGCAGGCAUUUUCUUUAUCUCCCACGUGUUACUCUAUAUACGGAGCCUUCGUCGAAUCGGUUGUUGCCAUUUGUUAGUCAUGGUGGAGCUUGAGGCAUGGGCAUUUAUUGGACCGAAUGUAACACAAGGAGGGUAUCAGUGAUGCUGCACAUCUGCACAGUUUACUCCCCAUUCGUUGUCACUUGAGACGGACGCGCUAUGUGCAGUAGUGUAUCAUGUGGAGAGGCUCGAGAGACCCUGGAAGAUUAGGACAAUUCUUUUCAACAAUAGGGUUGAUGUGCAUGAUCGAUGACGUUGGAUGAAAUCUGAUGGUAUUCAGUAUUGGAUAACAAAGUAAUUGAAACAUCAAAAUAGAGUUGAUUUGACUCAAAGAUGAUACAAGACAAGUCUCAUUCUCUACACAGCUCAUUCUCUCUAUUCAGUUGCCAA
Molecule: small RNA, 476 nt
Filed under: Histoplasma capsulatum
Lineage: Eukaryota; Fungi; Ascomycota; Eurotiomycetes; Onygenales; Ajellomycetaceae
Also listed under: 1 other name
Description: hypothetical RNA
Source: RNAcentral